Molecule: long non-coding RNA, 1458 nt
Filed under: Setaria viridis
Lineage: Eukaryota; Viridiplantae; Streptophyta; Magnoliopsida; Poales; Poaceae
Description: long non-coding RNA (SVIR_LNC008938)
Source: RNAcentral
CGCACCGGUGGUGCGGCGUGGCGUCGAGCAUGAGAAGGAAGAAGGGGGGAGUGGUGGCCUGGGAGGAGCGAGGUUGGGCCAAGUGGGCUUGAUGGCCUGCUAAGUUACGUAUAUGUGGAGAGGAGGCGCAGGUGGAUUGGGCCGAAAGAGGGCUAGGCUGGAAUCUGGGGUUGGCAGCCCAGGAGGUUAAAAAUGGUUUUUGGUUUGUUUGAUAAGGGUUUUUAAAUCCAAAUUUGAAAUAGAUUUUGAAUUUGAGUAGAGUUUGGAUUAGGGCUUGGGGUAGAUAUAGGAGUGGGGCAUUUUGGAAUAAUUUGAAAUGUAGAAAUGUUGGGGUAUGGCUAGGGUUGAAUAGGAUCUUUAUAGGGAUUUGAUUUGGGAAUUAAUAUUCGAAUUAGAUUUGAAUAUUAAUCCUAGGAUUUGGAAGAAGAAGGGUUUGGAAAUUCUACCUCUAGGAUUUAGAAGAGGGGUGCUUAGGAAAUAACCAAGUGCAACACAGAUGGUCGUAUUCAUGCAAGGGUUAUUUGUAAAUAGAGUUUUGAAUAUCUUUGGGAAGAGAGAUUAUGUUAUAAUGAAUUUUUUUAAAAAAGUCCAUAUUUUUUAAAUACACUAAAAUGCGGGAUGUUACGGAAGGAGCCUUGUCUUGUUGCCUUCGAGGUGAAUUUUUCUUCUAACCAUAUAACUCUAGCCACCAUGGAUGCAAUGGGCGCGGGCGGUGGUGAUGAAAGACAUCUGGACCUGAACCUCUCCAUGUGGCCUUCCAUGGAGCUGGAGCCACAGUGAUACUUCUCCUGCUCCUACACCGGUGAAGGGACCGUGACACCCUAAGAGGGGGGGGGUUGAAUUGGGUGUUCUAAAAUCUAAGGCUGCAAACACGUAUAAAAAACUAUUCCAAUUGCUAUCUAGUUGUGCACUAGGUUUUCCUAUGUGUUGCUAUCUCUACCGCAAAAGAUGUUUGCACCUAGGUUCCAAUCCUAUAAAUUACACAUGGCAAUGAAAGGUAAACACGGAAUAUAAGUACAAUAAGAAAUGCGAAAGGUAAAUGAGGUAGAGAAGGCAAACUCCCAAAGUGGCGUCACAGUGAUUUUUACGAGGUAUCGGAAAGCAAACCUUUCCACUAGUCCUCAUUGUUGGAGCCCCUCUUAAAGGGAAUGCCCGUGCAAGGGUAUAAACUCCCCGGUCAAGUAACUACAUCAGAUAGACGACAGGCCUUCCCCACGCGCAACUGGGUCUCCGCCUAGCCUCUUCUGGAUGCUCCUUGCUGCAUUUCACUUGGUAGAGCUUGAGCAAAACACCUAGGACCUCUCCUCCCUAUCGCAAGCACCAACGGCCACUUCACAAACUCGGUUGGACGGUCUCGCAAGAUUUACAAGCCCCAACUUUAAAACUCUUGGUGCGCGCAAGCACCGAUACAAAAGAGGUGUGCAAACUUCUCCCUACUCUAGGCUAAACCCUACACCA